Molecule: ribosomal RNA, 835 nt
Filed under: Streptomyces sp. IM-7184
Lineage: Bacteria; Bacillati; Actinomycetota; Actinomycetes; Kitasatosporales; Streptomycetaceae
Description: bacterial SSU rRNA
Rfam family: Bacterial small subunit ribosomal RNA
Source: RNAcentral
GGCGGCGUGCUUAACACAUGCAAGUCGAACGAUGAAGCCCUUCGGGGUGGAUUAGUGGCGAACGGGUGAGUAACACGUGGGCAAUCUGCCCUUCACUCUGGGACAAGCCCUGGAAACGGGGUCUAAUACCGGAUAACACUCCGCCUGCAUGGGUGGGGGUUAAAAGCUCCGGCGGUGAAGGAUGAGCCCGCGGCCUAUCAGCUUGUUGGUGAGGUAGUGGCUCACCAAGGCGACGACGGGUAGCCGGCCUGAGAGGGCGACCGGCCACACUGGGACUGAGACACGGCCCAGACUCCUACGGGAGGCAGCAGUGGGGAAUAUUGCACAAUGGGCGAAAGCCUGAUGCAGCGACGCCGCGUGAGGGAUGACGGCCUUCGGGUUGUAAACCUCUUUCAGCAGGGAAGAAGCGAAAGUGACGGUACCUGCAGAAGAAGCGCCGGCUAACUACGUGCCAGCAGCCGCGGUAAUACGUAGGGCGCAAGCGUUGUCCGGAAUUAUUGGGCGUAAAGAGCUCGUAGGCGGCUUGUCACGUCGAUUGUGAAAGCCCGGGGCUUAACCCCGGGUCUGCAGUCGAUACGGGCUAGCUAGAGUGUGGUAGGGGAGAUCGGAAUUCCUGGUGUAGCGGUGAAAUGCGCAGAUAUCAGGAGGAACACCGGUGGCGAAGGCGGAUCUCUGGGCCAUUACUGACGCUGAGGAGCGAAAGCGUGGGGAGCGAACAGGAUUAGAUACCCUGGUAGUCCACGCCGUAAACGGUGGGCACUAGGUGUUGGCGACAUUCCACGUCGUCGGUGCCGCAGCUAACGCAUUAAGUGCCCCGCCUGGGGAGUACGGCCGC